GACGAACGCUGGCGGCGUGCUUAACACAUGCAAGUCGAACGGAAAGGCCCUGCUUGUGUGUGGUGCUCGAGUGGCGAACGGGUGAUUAACACGUGAGUAACCUGCCCUUGACUUUGGGAUAACGUCAGGAAACUUGGUCUAAUACCGGAUAGGAGGUCGUGCGCCAGGGUGGGUGGUGGAAAGUUUCGGCGGUUGGGGGUGUACUCGCGGCUUAUCAUCUUGGUGGUGGGGUAGUGGCUUCCGAAGGGUUUGACGGGUAGCCGGCAGGAGAAGGUCACCGGCGACAUGGGGACUGAGAUACGGAGCAGACUGGUACGGGAGGCAGCAGUGGGGAAUCUUGCCCAAUGGGGGGGAGUCUGAUGCAGAGACGCCGCGUGCGGGAUGACGGCCUUCGGGUUGUAAAAAGCUUUCGCCUGUGACGAAGCGUGAGUGACGGUAAUGGAUAAAGAAGCACCGGCUAACUACGUG
Molecule: ribosomal RNA, 468 nt
Filed under: uncultured bacterium
Lineage: Bacteria
Description: partial 16S ribosomal RNA
Rfam family: Bacterial small subunit ribosomal RNA
Source: RNAcentral